CGUGACGAGGAGGUCCUGCGGCUGCUCUAUGAGGAAGCCAAGGGCAACGUGCUGGCUGCACGGUACCCGUGCGACGUGGAGGACUGCGAGGCUCUGGGCGCCCUGGUGUGCCGCGUGCAGCUCGGGCCCUACCAGCCCGGCCGGCCGGCAGCCUGCGACCUGAGGGAGAAGCUGGACUCCUUCCUCCCUGCUCACCUCUGUAAGCGGGGCCAGGGUCUCUUUGCUGCCCUCCGGGGCCGUGGGGCCAGGGCCGGGCCGGGCGAGCAGGGCCUGCUGAACGCCUACCGCCAGGUGCAGGAGGUCGACAGUGACAGCGGGUGCGAGGCCGCCCUGGGCACCCACUACCGCGCCUACCUCCUCAAGUGCCAUGAGCUACCCUUCUAUGGGUGUGCCUUCUUCCAUGGUGAGGUUGACAAGCCGGCCCAAGGCUUUUUGCACCGGGGUGGGCGCAAGCCAGUUUCUGUGGCCAUCAGUCUGGAAGGCGUGCACGUCAUCGACAGCAGAGAGAAGGUACUGCCCCCAGCUCCUCCAGGGUGGAGAGGGUGGGA
RNAcentral lists this small RNA (548 nucleotides) under Pongo abelii (Sumatran orangutan). RNAcentral describes it as "retained intron". The record is from RNAcentral. Lineage: Eukaryota; Metazoa; Chordata; Mammalia; Primates; Hominidae.